This 253-nucleotide ribosomal RNA is filed under the name uncultured prokaryote. RNAcentral describes it as "partial 16S ribosomal RNA". It matches the Rfam family "Bacterial small subunit ribosomal RNA", at positions 524 to 776 of the family's 1533-position model. The record is from RNAcentral.
UACGUAGGGGGCAAGCGUUAUCCGGAUUUACUGGGUGUAAAGGGAGUGUAGGUGGCCUGGCAAGCCAGAUGUGAAAGCCCGCGGCUCAACUGCGGGACUGCAUUUGGAACUGUUAGGCUUGAGUGCAGGAGAGGAAAGUGGAAUUCCUAGUGUAGCGGUGAAAUGCUUAGAUAUUAGGAGGAACACCAGUGGCGAAGGCGGCUUUCUGGACUGUAACUGACACUGAGGCUCGAAAGCGUGGGGAGCAAACAGG